This 468-nucleotide ribosomal RNA is filed under the name uncultured bacterium. RNAcentral's name for it is "partial 16S ribosomal RNA". It matches the Rfam family "Bacterial small subunit ribosomal RNA", at positions 28 to 507 of the family's 1533-position model. The record is from RNAcentral.
GACGAACGCUGGCGGCGUGCUUAACACAUGCAAGUCGAACGGAAAGGCCCUGCUUUUGUGGGGUGCUCAAGUGGCGAACGGGUGAGUAACACGUGAGUAACCUGCCCUUGACUUUGGGAUAACUUCAGGAAACUGGGGCUAAUACCGGAUAGGAGCUCCUGCUGCAUGGUGGGGGUUGGAAAGUUUCGGCGGUUGGGGAUGGACUCGCGGCUUAUCAGCUUGUUGGUGGGGUAGUGGCUUACCAAGGCUUUGACGGGUAGCCGGCCUGAGAGGGUGACCGGCCACAUUGGGGCUGAGAUACGGCCCAGACUCCUACGGGAGGCAGCAGUGGGGAAUAUUGCACAAUGGGCGGAAGCCUGAUGCAGCAACGCCGCGUGCGGGAUGACGGCCUUCGGGUUGUAAACCGCUUUCGCCUGUGACGAAGCGUGAGUGACGGUAAUGGGUAAAGAAGCACCGGCUAACUACGUG